Molecule: transfer RNA, 74 nt
Filed under: Geodermatophilaceae bacterium
Lineage: Bacteria; Bacillati; Actinomycetota; Actinomycetes; Geodermatophilales; Geodermatophilaceae
Also listed under: 1 other name
Description: tRNA-Ile
Rfam family: tRNA
About the family: Transfer RNA (tRNA) molecules are approximately 80 nucleotides in length. Their secondary structure includes four short double-helical elements and three loops (D, anti-codon, and T loops).
Source: RNAcentral
GGGCCUGUAGCUCAGACGGUUAGAGCACAUCCCUGAUAAGGAUGGGGCCGGAGGUUCAAGUCCUCCCAGGCCCA